GACGAACGCUGGCGGCGUGCUUAACACAUGCAAGUCGAACGACGUGGCGCACGGGUGAGUAACGCGUAAUCAACCUGCCCUUCAGAGGGGGACAACAGUUGGCAACGACUGCUAAUACCUCAUACUUAAGCAGGGGGUUGCGUUUGAUUAGCUCGUUGGAGGGGUAACGGCCCACCACGGCGAUGAUCAGUAGGCGGGCUGAGAGGAAUAACGGGCAAAUUGGGAAUGGGAAAAGGCCCAGGAUCCUUCGGGAAGUAGCAGGGGGGAAAUUUCCGACAUGGGCGGAAGUCUUAAGGAGCAAAGGCGGGGGAGAGAUGGAGGCCUUCGGGGUGUAAAGCUAUGUUAAUCGGGAAGCGGUACCGGAAGAGAAAGCCACGGCUAACUACGUGCCAGCCGCCGCGGUAAUAC
RNAcentral lists this ribosomal RNA (408 nucleotides) under uncultured bacterium. RNAcentral's name for it is "partial 16S ribosomal RNA". It matches the Rfam family "Bacterial small subunit ribosomal RNA", at positions 28 to 526 of the family's 1533-position model. The record is from RNAcentral.